CCACACACGAUCCAAGAUCGACACUUAUUUGUGAACUGUUAAAUGUUAUUGAAUGUUAAUGAAAAGGGGAUUUGAUGGAUGUAAUAGUCUAUCUGCUCCAUUUUGUUAAUGUUUAUUACUUUACACCAAAAAACAAACAUGAAUUAUCUAUGGAACAUAAAUGUUAUUUCAAGUUCGUCUUGAACAUAACGCUAGAUUGAAAAUUGUAAA
RNAcentral lists this unclassified non-coding RNA (210 nucleotides) under uncultured fungus. RNAcentral describes it as "sequence contains ITS1, 5.8S rRNA gene". Lineage: Eukaryota; Fungi. The record is from RNAcentral.